Molecule: non-coding RNA, 872 nt
Organism: Macaca mulatta (Rhesus monkey)
Lineage: Eukaryota; Metazoa; Chordata; Mammalia; Primates; Cercopithecidae
Source: RefSeq, a predicted model, not a curated record
CACAGAGAUAACAAAGAAACUUGUUUCAGAGGCAUCCUCAAAUCUUAGGCCCAAAUACAUGGUGGUAUUAACAGAAACAACGAAAUAUCCAUAGCAACUGUGGAAAGCAGAUCACAUCCCAUAGUGAGAUAAUAAAUAAAGUCACUGCCUUUUGUGACACCUUACUCAACCUCAGACAGAAAUAAAUGCUCCUCGCUCCUGUUCCCAUAAAUCCACCCAGCUUGUGUUUGUGGGAGCAGAGGGAGGAUUGCUCCCCAAUCCAGGCCCACAAAAGUGGCUUUCCCUUCCACAGCAGCUCCCACCCUCUGCUGGGAGUCAGAGACCUCUCCCAAGGACCCACUCAGGACGGAGUCUGCGGCUGUUUAGGAAGGGUCUCCACUGGGUAGUUUGCAGGAAACUCAACGAAAUCAAAGCCCAACAGUAGGGGCCACGUAAAGAAAAAUCUACCUCACCCCAUGUCUAUCCAUCUUCCCGACUGCUGCCUGCCUCCUGCCUUGUGACCAGCUCUGCCGGCAGACCCUGCAGUAUGACUCAGCGUGUUGAAAUCUGCCUCUGUGGGCACGCACUGCUCUCAGAACUGCUUCAACCACCAGAAGCAGCUAAUUGCAAUGAGUCUCUGGACCCUGCUCCAAUGGCAACACUCAAGAGGAAGCGACCACCAAGGCAGUACCUUCCUAUUAAAUGCUACUGACCUCCAGAAAGAACGUGCCUUGGCUUUGUGAGGAGCUCAGAGGCUCUGAGAGGCCCCCUGUGGGGGAGCGUGUUCAGGACUAUACGAGGCCUGCCUUCCCAGCUCGCCUGCACUGGGCUGAGAUGAUGGUGGUGACGACGACAAAUAAUACUAAGAAUAAAGGUACCACUGACUGAACGCU